RNAcentral lists this transfer RNA (74 nucleotides) under Lycodes terraenovae (Newfoundland eelpout). RNAcentral's name for it is "tRNA-Leu". It matches the Rfam family "tRNA". From Rfam's summary of the family: Transfer RNA (tRNA) molecules are approximately 80 nucleotides in length. Their secondary structure includes four short double-helical elements and three loops (D, anti-codon, and T loops). Further hydrogen bonds mediate the characteristic L-shaped molecular structure. tRNAs have two regions of fundamental functional importance: the anti-codon, which is responsible for specific mRNA codon recognition, and the 3' end, to which the tRNAs corresponding amino acid is attached (by aminoacyl-tRNA synthetases). tRNAs cope with the degeneracy of the genetic code in two manners: having more than one tRNA (with a specific anti-codon) for a particular amino acid; and 'wobble' base-pairing, i.e. permitting non-standard base-pairing at the 3rd anti-codon position. Lineage: Eukaryota; Metazoa; Chordata; Actinopteri; Perciformes; Zoarcidae. RNAcentral also lists the same sequence under 2 other names. The record is from RNAcentral.
GUUAGGGUGGCAGAGCCCGGUAAUUGCAAAAGGUCUAAACCCUUCCGACAGAGGUUCAAAUCCUCUCCCCAACU